AAGUCGUAACAAGGUUUCCGUAGGUGAACCUGCGGAAGGAUCAUUACCAAAUCCAAAAUACCCAACCCCUUGUGAACUAUUGUUUGUUGUCCUUGGAGGGGAAAUAACUUGUAAGAAAAUAAAGAAACAAAAGUUCUCUACUUUAUGCCUUUUAUUUUGUUCUGGUGUGUCCCCUCCAAAAGAAUCCGGCACUCCGGUGCUUUGUGAGAUUCUUGAUAAACCACAGAUUUCUAUUUUUUUCGGAAUGACUUUUAUUUAAAUUAAUAAAGGACAACUUUUAACGGUGGAUCUCUUGGCUCGUG
Molecule: unclassified non-coding RNA, 302 nt
Filed under: fungal sp.
Lineage: Eukaryota; Fungi
Description: partial internal transcribed spacer region
Rfam family: Eukaryotic small subunit ribosomal RNA (bases 1-46)
Source: RNAcentral